CGGCUCUCCCUCCCCGGGAUCCUCUCCCCGGAUCCCCUCCCCGGCUCUCCCUCCCCGGUUUCCGCUCCCGGAUCCCCUCCCCCGCGCUCCCUCCCCGGGAUCCUCUCCCCGGAUCCCCUCCCCGGCUCUCCCUCCCCGGUUUCCGCUCCCGGAUCCCCUCCCCGGCGCUCCCUCCCCGGGAUCCUCUCCCGGGUUUCCCUUCCCGGCGCUCCCUCCCCGGGCCUCGUCCCCGGCGCCUUCCCGCCGGAGCGAGCCCCCUCGCGCUCCUGGUCCCCCGCGCGCAGCCUACCUGGAUCUCGUGGAUGCGGCUGAAGCCGUCCUUCCAGAAGAACUCCACCAGACCCAUCAGUAAAAAGACAGAACAGCAAGAAAAUCAGCCAAAGUUAUUCCAGAACCGAGAGCUCUCAAAUCCUCCUUCCUGUGAAUAAGAAGGUGCUAUUUCAGCCACUGCUGACACCCAGCCACAACAAUCCCUGUUAGUUCAAGCAAAGAGGAAAAGCUACCUCUUCCUACAAAGGGCUCUCUCCCCUUGCUGGCUACUCCCAGGCAGAGUGGGAACUACCAAGAAAAAGCCUUUGGAGGCAACCAAACAGAUCCAGCGGAGGACUGAGGUCACAGGCAAACUGCUGUCCCAUAAAUUGGUGAAACCAACGGAUGGAUACAGAGAAACACAGCUUACCAAAGAUGAAGCCCAAGAGCAGUGGGAACCACUGUGGGAACCAGUAGCAGGGAAACUUAAACCGUAAUUGAUGAAUUGUUGGAGGCUCGAUCUGGAAAAGCUUGUAAAAAUACCAGGGGUUUCAGCCUUAGGGAGGACCCACACUUUCCUGAGUUUCACCUCCAGGAGCUCUACCAGGUUCUUUCAAUGAAGAUCAGAGAAAAAUCCCCCCAUCCUGCCAGAAAGGGGAGAGAAAAUACACCAAACGGCUCUGUUCUUCUUAACAAGGCUUUCAAGAGAAACUAUUUUACCAGAGCCUGACUGAGGUUUUACUAGAGCCUAGCCAAGCUCGAGGAAGGGAAAUUCCCAACUGCAGCCCCACUCUGGGCUUCCUGCCCUAUAUAAGUGGGGGGAAAUCUGAGAAGCACUUCAGAAGGUCACAGAACAGGGGCGUGGUCUCACUAAAAGACUAGACCUAAUCAUAAGAUUAGAGAAUCCCCUUCCCCAAAUCUGACCAGCACAUGGAUAGGUUUCCUGUGUGAUAAAGGAGACAAACCCAAGAAAACCAGAGGAAAUUUAGCCUCUGACACUUACAGCUACAAAAAUAGUAAACACAGCCUAAAUCUUGGCCAGAUAAAAAUAAAGCCUCACACUGAUGGCCUUUUUAAUUCAGUUCCUUUUACCCAGUAUAUCACGUUAGCCUUUCAACAAAAAAUUACAAGGCAUCCUAAAAAACAACACUUUGAAGAGACAGAGCAAGCAUCAGAACCAGACUCAGACAUGGCAGAGAUGUGGGUAUUAUCAGACUAUGAAUUUAAAAUAACUAUGAUUAAUAUGAUAAGUGAAAAAAGUACACAACAUGAAAGAAUAGGUGGACAAUGUAAGCAGAGAGAUGGAAACACUAAGAAAGAACUGAAAGGAAAUGCUAGAAAUACAAAACAGACUAUAAAGAAAUGAAGAAUGCCUUUGAUGGGCUUAUCAAUAGACUGGACACAACCCUGGAAAGAAUCAGUGAACUUUAGGAAAUGACAACAGAAAUUUCUGAGAUUGAAAUACAAAGAGAAAUAAGAAUGAAAAAGACAAUAGAAUACCCAAGAACUAUGGGUAUUACAUAUGUAUAUAGGGAUACAAAAAAAAAGAAGAAAGGAACAAAAUAAAUAUUUGAAGUGAUAAUGACAGAACUUUCCAAAAGUAAUGACAGACACCAAACUACUCAUCCGAAAGCUCAGAAAAUACCAAGCAGUAU
Molecule: long non-coding RNA, 1904 nt
Organism: Balaenoptera ricei (Rice's whale)
Lineage: Eukaryota; Metazoa; Chordata; Mammalia; Artiodactyla; Balaenopteridae
Exons: 4
Source: RefSeq, a predicted model, not a curated record